Molecule: long non-coding RNA, 3846 nt
Filed under: Coffea arabica (coffee)
Lineage: Eukaryota; Viridiplantae; Streptophyta; Magnoliopsida; Gentianales; Rubiaceae
Description: long non-coding RNA (CARA_LNC004887)
Source: RNAcentral
UAGUGGUGGUUGACGUUGAAACUUUUGGCCAAAUGUUGAAACUUGAAGGUGGAAAUAUUGGAAAAGCCACCAAGAUUUUUAAAGGUUUUCCACUUCAUUCAUGACAAGCAAUUAGGCCAAUGUCAAUUUCCUAGUGAAAUUUGGCACGAAACCUCUCGUCUUAUAGUAAAUGGGACCUAUUAUGUUUAUUCCUGGCUAAUCCCUUUCACACCUCUGUUUGAUAUUAUUGUCUGCGACUAAUAAUGAAUCAGCACAUUUUACGACCAAGUCCCUCAAUCACGUCUUCGCUACAAAGAAGUUAUAAUAUAAUCCUAUAAAUAGCUUAGCAGGAUUGCACCUCUUCCUCAAAUUCUCAUAACCCUUCAUUCCACCAGGCCAAAAAAAAUGAAGCUUUCGCAGAUGCGUCUGUGUAGCGUGUUACUGUUAGUAGCGGUGAUUGUUGGUGAAGUGGAAGUGAGCAGGGCAGUGACGUGUACUCCGACGGAGCUGAGUCCUUGCGUUUCGGCAAUCAUAUCGAACCAGCCACCGUCGCCGGCUUGCUGCAGUAAGCUGAGGGAGCAGAGGCCCUGCCUCUGUGGUUAUCUCAGAGAUCCCAACCUCCGGCAGUAUGUCAACUCCCCUAAUGCUCGCAGGGUUGCUAGCUCCUGUGGUGUGCCCACCCCAAGAUGCUAAACUCCUCCUCCGUUGCAACAAUUCUGGAUCAUUAAUAGUAGUACUUAAUAUUUCUACUCCCAGCCUACUUCGGAUAAUACGAAUGAAAGAGCAAUAAAUAAAUGUUGUACCAACAUCAAAUCUUGCCUAUUAGGCUUGUAUCAUGUAAUGCCGGGAUUAACUUAAGUACCAUAUGUUACUGCUUCGGUAUGCAUCUCUGCCUCCCAUUUAUUUAAUUCUAUUAUUACACUGCACAAUUAUCUUCUGAUGGAAUCAGACAUAAUUCACACAAGGUGACGAAUCCUCAAUACUAUAUAACAGUAUAUAUGAUCACUUUUAAUAUCACCAAUUCGGUCGAUCGAUCACCAAGGUGAGAAUUUGCGUUUUGCCUGCCCCCGUUGGUAAACUCAUAGCAUACCCACAAGCAACAAACUGCUCUCUCUGAUUGCAUUUUUAGCCAAAAAAAAAACAAAAAAACAAAAAAGCGAAGAGAAGAAUGAAAUACUAAGAACAUAUGAGCCAAGUGCCGUUGUGAAUUUGAGUUUUUUUUUUUUUUUCCCCCUUCUCUCGUGCAACUGACCACUUCUUUUUCUCUAUUAUUAUCAGUGCUAAGGGCACACCUAUUAUGCUGUAUGUGCAAUUUGGAAACAAUUAUUUUGCAUAUGAAAGAAUUAUUUAAUAGAUUUUUUGAAUAGGAUUUUAAGUAAUUCGGUGAUUACAAACGCUCCAUGGGUGGUUAUAGUUUGAAUAGUUAGGGUCAAAGGUAGUUGUUGUUGUAUUGGUUGACAAAAUGAGCAAUAUGUGAUUAGACGGUAAAAAGUAAAAUUAAAUAAUUAUAUGGAUAAUUAAUGUUGAUACUAUAAAAAGUGACGAGAUAUGUUUAUAGUACCAAAUUCAUGGUUCUUUCUUUAUAUAUAGUGUAAAUUAGUUCUAAAGGCACACACAAUAUCAAUAUGUGUGCAUUUUAGAAAUACUUUUUUUACAAGUUAAUUUUAUCUAAAACUUCUUUCCCUAUCAAAUGAUGAUUAUUUUGGUACUUACAAUGUUUAGAGGCAGUUAUUUUAUCAAGAUGCGUUAAAAUAGUUAUGGGGGAAAAAAAUAUUUACAGCCAGUUAUCUUAACAAUUCAUGUUGAAAUAGUGAAGUAAUAAGUGAUUUUCACACAAGCAAAGUUCAAAGUGACAGCAAAUAUUUAUCCCAAACCUUCUACUUCUCCCUUUAUAUAUUAUAGAUGUUGACUUUAUUCUGGAUUAAAUAACGAUCAAAACAGACAAACUAAAAAAAAAAAAAAAAUUGAGUAAAAAAAUUCUUGGAUGCAGUUCAUUCGCACUUUUUCCUUCCAUAGUUAAUAACUUCCUGGAGAAUUUGUCAUUUCCUUGGAGUAUCUCGAGUUAGAAUUUAAAGAUAAAUUGAAAUCCUAUUUCCCUGGAGAACUGGAAAUACAUUUCUCGUCCCAGAUAUACGCAUUACCCAAAAAAUGCAAAACUAGUAGUCUCAGCUUGGGGCGUGACCGAUCAUAAUGAUUUGCAUCAUGUUUAUGCGUUUUAAACACAUUAAUUACCUUCCGACCGCCACUUUAGCAAUCUUUCAAGUUCCUCUGCCAAAAGCAUUAGCCAUUUUUGCGUCUCCGUUCGAACCAAUGGAUACCCGAAGGGGAAGCUUUUCGUUCCCGGGCCAGGCCGCUAUUAGAAAAAUGGACAUCUGACGGAGGAGCAGUCGCGUCAUUUUCUGAAGAAGAAACGGAAAUGGACAACGAGGACGACUUGGCGUUUGACAGGUGCGAAGACUUGGAAUGAAUCGUGAGCCUCCAAUGACUAAUCAGUCAGUCAUGCCUCUCUUCUCUUGCAAGUUGCAAUUAGCCAAUUCCUAGCACAAGUUGGAACUAUUAUUCCUGCCUAACGCGCUAAUCCGUUUCAAAGCCCCUAUUUGACAUUGUCUGUGAUUCAUAGAUCAGCCACGACUAGCUAGCUACGGAUACCAACAUUUUACCUACUCCCUCAAUCACGUCUUCACUGCAAAAUAUUUAUUAUAAUCCUAUAAAUAGCUUAGCAGGAUUGCAUCUCUUCCUCAAAUCCCCAUAACCCUUCAUUCCUUCGAUAAUUAUAUCCCUUCUGGAACACUCAUAUAACCCACCAAGAAAAAGAAUUAAAAAAACGAAGUUUUCUCAUAUGGGUCUGUGUAGUGUGUUACUGUUGGUAGUGAUGAUUGUUGGUGAAGUGCAAGUGAGCAGGGCAAUAAUAUGUAGUCCAACGGAGCUGAGUCCUUGCGUUGCGGCAUUCAUAUCGCAGCAGCCACCGUCGGGGGCUUGCUGCAGUAAGCUGAGGGAGCAGAGGCCCUGCUUCUGUGGUUAUCUCAGAGAUCCCUACCUCCGGCAGUAUGUCAACACCCCUAAUGGUCGCAGGGAGGCAAGCUUCUGUGGUGUGCCAUCCCCCCGAUGCUAAACUAAACUACUCCAUUACAAAAACUCUGGAUCAUUAAUGUUAUUGCUGCUGCUACUAGUGCUGCUUUGGACAAUACGAGCAAAAGAGUAAGAAAUAUUGUACCAAUAUCAAAUCUUACCUAUUAGACUUGUUAUGGUUCUUAUAAUGCGGGGAUUAAGCAAGCACACGUUUCUGCUUCAGCAUCUCUCCUUUCCCUUUAUUUAAUUCUAUUAUUACACUACGCAAUUGUCUUCUGAUGGAACCAACCAGAUAAUCCACAUAAGUGUGAUAUAACUAAUAUGAUUACGGGGGUCGAUCAGGUGAGAAUUUGCAUUUUGCAUCAGCUGGUGAGCUUAGAGUGUAGCCACAAGCUACUAAGUUUGUCUCUCUGACGGCAUUCUUACCAAAAAAUGCAAAGAGAAGAAUGAAACUCCACUAACAUAAGAGCCAACCGUCGUCGCGAAUUUGAGCUUCUAUGCUUGAUGAAUCCAAGUCGAAUUGAGAAAGAAGAAUAGAAAAAUCAGCAGGAAGGCAAAAGAAUUUGUAAGGAAUUAAUGGUAUUACAAACACAAAUCAGACCCUCAGUCCCAUUUAACUAGUGGCAAUUUGGUUUCACUCUUUCGUUCAUUUGAUGCCAAGUGUUCGAUUAAUUUUAGUUAAAAUUAAAUAUCACGUUUAAAAGAGAUACUGAAUUGCCACUGAGACAAUGGCGCUGAGGAUCUCAAUCGAUUACAAACAUGUCAAAAUAAAUUUAAAAAUUCUCACCAAUAUCGCAC